This 95-nucleotide ribosomal RNA is filed under the name uncultured bacterium. RNAcentral describes it as "partial 16S ribosomal RNA". The record is from RNAcentral.
CUUCGGUUGUAAGCUCUUCGGCGGGACGAAAUGGUUAGGCGAAUAGCGCUGACUGAUGACGGUACCGUAAUAAGAAGCACCGGCUAACUACGUGC